GAUUUUCUGUAUCUGAAGGGGAGUAUAAUGAGUUCCUUAAAUAUCGAGCAAGUAAGCAGACAUCUCCACAAGUAGCCUCUGUUGCUGUUAAUUCUUUUGCUUGUGUUUCCCAGUCUAGUCCUCUUGAACGAUGGGUUGUGGACUCAGCUGCUUCUGAUCAUAUCUCUGGUAAUAAAUCCUUUUUGUCAAAUAUUGCGUAUUCACGGUUUCUCCCCAACGUUACUUUAGCCAAUGGGUCUCAAACUAAAGCAAAAGGAGUUGGUCAAGCGAAUCUCCUACCCUCUAUCACUCGAGAUUUCGUUCUUUAUGUCCCUGGCUGUCCUUUUAAUCUUGCAUCCGUUAGUCGUUUGACUCGUGCCCUCCAUUGCGGUAGAUAUUUUAUUGAUGAUUCUUUUAUUAUGCAGGACCGCAGUACGGGACAGACGAUUGGAACAUGACUUGAAUCAGAAGGACUCUACUACCUUACCUCACUAAAAUCCUCCAAGGCAUGUCUAGUAGCAGAUCCUCCAGACCUACUUCACCGUCGUUUAGGACAUCCUAGCUUGUCCAAGCUUCAUCGUAAGGGACAGACAAUUGGAACAGGACUUGAAUCAGAAGGACUCUACUACAUUACCUCACUAAAAUCCUCCAAGGCCUGUCUAGUUGCAGAUCCUCCAGACCUACUUCACUGUCGUUUAGAACAUCCUAGCUUGUCCAAGCUUCAGAAGAUGGUGCCUAGUUUGUCUAGUUUAUCCACAUUAGAGUGUGAGUCAUGUCAACUCGGGAAACAUACCCGCGCCUCCUUUCCUCGUAGUAUUGAGAGUCGUGCAGAGUCUAUUUUUUCUUUAGUUCAUUCUGAUAUAUGGGG
RNAcentral lists this long non-coding RNA (847 nucleotides) under Nicotiana benthamiana. RNAcentral describes it as "long non-coding RNA (NBEN_LNC027131)". Lineage: Eukaryota; Viridiplantae; Streptophyta; Magnoliopsida; Solanales; Solanaceae. The record is from RNAcentral.